RNAcentral lists this ribosomal RNA (850 nucleotides) under uncultured Staphylococcus sp. Its description in RNAcentral is "bacterial SSU rRNA". It matches the Rfam family "Bacterial small subunit ribosomal RNA", at positions 65 to 896 of the family's 1533-position model. The record is from RNAcentral. Lineage: Bacteria; Bacillati; Bacillota; Bacilli; Caryophanales; Staphylococcaceae.
AGCGAACAGACGAGGAGCUUGCUCCUCUGACGUUAGCGGCGGACGGGUGAGUAACACGUGGAUAACCUACCUAUAAGACUGGGAUAACUUCGGGAAACCGGAGCUAAUACCGGAUAAUAUAUUGAACCGCAUGGUUCAAUAGUGAAAGACGGUUUUGCUGUCACUUAUAGAUGGAUCCGCGCCGCAUUAGCUAGUUGGUAAGGUAACGGCUUACCAAGGCAACGAUGCGUAGCCGACCUGAGAGGGUGAUCGGCCACACUGGAACUGAGACACGGUCCAGACUCCUACGGGAGGCAGCAGUAGGGAAUCUUCCGCAAUGGGCGAAAGCCUGACGGAGCAACGCCGCGUGAGUGAUGAAGGUCUUCGGAUCGUAAAACUCUGUUAUUAGGGAAGAACAAAUGUGUAAGUAACUAUGCACGUCUUGACGGUACCUAAUCAGAAAGCCACGGCUAACUACGUGCCAGCAGCCGCGGUAAUACGUAGGUGGCAAGCGUUAUCCGGAAUUAUUGGGCGUAAAGCGCGCGUAGGCGGUUUUUUAAGUCUGAUGUGAAAGCCCACGGCUCAACCGUGGAGGGUCAUUGGAAACUGGAAAACUUGAGUGCAGAAGAGGAAAGUGGAAUUCCAUGUGUAGCGGUGAAAUGCGCAGAGAUAUGGAGGAACACCAGUGGCGAAGGCGACUUUCUGGUCUGUAACUGAACGCUGAUGUGCGAAAGCGUGGGGAUCAAACAGGAUUAGAUACCCUGGUAGUCCACGCCGUAAACGAUGAGUGCUAAGUGUUAGGGGGUUUCCGCCCCUUAGUGCUGCAGCUAACGCAUUAAGCACUCCGCCUGGGGAGUACGACCGCAAGUUG